ACUCCCCGAGUAGAGCGGCGCACGGGUGAGUAACGCGUGGGUAACCUACCUCCGGGCGGGGGAUAACCACUCGAAAGGGUGGCUAAUACCGCAUGAGACCACGGGGUACUAAGGACCCAGGGGCCAAAGAUGGCACCGGCUUGCCGGUGCUGUCACCUGGAGACGGGCCCGCGUACGAUUAGCUAGUUGGUGGGGUAACGGCCUACCAAGGCUGCGAUCGUUAGCUGGUCUGAGAGGAUGACCAGCCACACUGGAACUGGAACACGGUCCAGACUCCUACGGGAGGCAGCAGUGAGGAAUAUUGCGCAAUGGGGGAAACCCUGACGCAGCAACGCCGCGUGGGUGAAGAAGGCCUUCGGGUCGUAAAGCCCUUUCGGACGGGACGAACGCUCCGCGGGGAUAAUCCGCGGAGUCUGACGGUACCGUAGGAAGAAGCACCGGCUAACUCCGUGCCAGCAGCCGCGGUAAUACGGAGGGUGCAAGCGUUGUUCGGAAUUACUGGGCGUAAAGCGCGUGUAGGCGGCCUGGUAAGUCAGAUGUGAAAGCCCUCGGCUCAACCGGGGAAGGGCAUCUGAAACUGCCUGC
Molecule: ribosomal RNA, 585 nt
Filed under: uncultured bacterium
Lineage: Bacteria
Description: bacterial SSU rRNA
Rfam family: Bacterial small subunit ribosomal RNA
Source: RNAcentral